AGUGAACGCUGGCGGUAGGCCUAACACAUGCAAGUCGAACGGCAGCACAGUAAGAGCUUGCUCUUACGGGUGGCGAGUGGCGGACGGGUGAGGAAUACAUCGGAAUCUACUUUUUCGUGGGGGAUAACGUAGGGAAACUUACGCUAAUACCGCAUACGACCUACGGGUGAAAGCAGGGGAUCUUCGGACCUUGCGCGAUUGAAUGAGCCGAUGUCGGAUUAGCUAGUUGGCGGGGUAAAGGCCCACCAAGGCGACGAUCCGUAGCUGGUCUGAGAGGAUGACCACCCACACUGGAACUGAGACACGGUCCAGACUCCUACGGGAGGCAGCAGUGGGGAAUAUUGGACAAUGGGCGCAAGCCUGAUCCAGCCAUACCGCGUGGGUGAAGAAGGCCUUCGGGUUGUAAAGCCCUUUUGUUGGGAAAGAAAAGCAGCAGGUUAAUACCCCGCUGUUCUGACGGUACCCAAAGAAUAAGCACCGGCUAACUUCGUG
Molecule: ribosomal RNA, 492 nt
Filed under: uncultured bacterium
Lineage: Bacteria
Description: partial 16S ribosomal RNA
Rfam family: Bacterial small subunit ribosomal RNA
Source: RNAcentral